GAAAUGCGAUAAGUAAUGUGAAUUGCAGAAUUCAGUGAAUCAUCGAAUCUUUGAACGCACCUUGCGCUCCUUGGUAUUCCUUGGAGCAUGCCUGUUUGAGUAUCAUGAAAUCUUCAAAGUAAAUCUUUUGUUAACUCAAUUGGUUUCUACUUUGGUAUUGGAGGUCUUUGCAGCUUCACACCUGCUACUCUUUGUUCAUUAGCUGGAUCUCAGUGUUAUGCUUGGUUCCACUCGGCGUGAUAAGUUAUCUAUCGCUGAGGACACUGUAAAAGGUGGCCAAGGUAAAUGCAGAUGAACCUCUUCUAAUAGUCCAUUUACUUGGAAAAUACUUUUAUGAUCUGAUCUCAAAUCAGGUAGGACUACCCGCUGAACUUAAGC
RNAcentral lists this unclassified non-coding RNA (378 nucleotides) under plant metagenome. Its description in RNAcentral is "partial contains 5.8S ribosomal RNA, internal transcribed spacer 2, and large subunit ribosomal RNA". The stretch from base 1 to 105 matches the Rfam family "5.8S ribosomal RNA", at positions 50 to 154 of the family's 154-position model. The record is from RNAcentral.